CCUACGGGUAGCAGCAGUAGGGAAUAUUUGUCAAUGGACACAAGUCUGAACCAGCCAUGCCGCGUGCAGUAAGACGUCUCUCUUAGUUGUAAACUGCUUUUGUACGAGGGUAAACGCAGAUACGCGUCUCUUUCUUAAAGUAUCUUACGAAUAAGGAUCGUCUAACUCCGUGCCAGCCGCCGCGGUACUACGGAGGAUUCAAGCGUUAUCCGGAUUUAUUGGGUUUAAAGGGUGCGUAGGCGGUCGGAUAAGUUAGAGGUGAAAUCCCGAGGCUCAACUUCGGAAUUGCCUCUGAUACUGUUCGGCUAGAGAGUAGUUGCGGUAGGCGGAAUGUAUGGUGUAGCGGUGAAAUGCUUAGAGAUCAUACAGAACACCGAGUGCGAAGGCAGCUUACCAAGCUACUUCUGACGUUGAGGCACGAAAGCGUGGGGAGCAAACAGGAUUAGAUACCCUUGUAGUC
This 460-nucleotide ribosomal RNA is filed under the name uncultured bacterium. RNAcentral describes it as "partial 16S ribosomal RNA". It matches the Rfam family "Bacterial small subunit ribosomal RNA", at positions 338 to 795 of the family's 1533-position model. The record is from RNAcentral.